AUUCGCGGCCUAUCAGCUUGUUGGUGGGGUAAUGGCCUACCAAGGCGGCGACGGGUAGCCGGCCUGAGAGGGUGGACGGCCACAUUGGGACUGAGAUACGGCCCAGACUCCUACGGGAGGCAGCAGUGGGGAAUAUUGCACAAUGGGCGCAAGCCUGAUGCAGCGACGCCGCGUGGGGGAUGACGGCCUUCGGGUUGUAAACUCCUUUCGCUAGGGACGAAGCUUUUUGUGACGGUACCUAGAUAAGAAGCACCGGCUAACUACGUGCCAGCAGCCGCGGUAAUACGUAGGGUGCGAGCGUUGUCCGGAAUUACUGGGCGUAAAGGGCUCGUAGGUGGUUUGUCGCGUCGUCUGUGAAAUUCCGGGGCUUAACUCCGGGCGUGCAGGCGAUACGGGCAUAACUUGAGUACUGUAGGGGUAACUGGAAUUCCUGGUGUAGCGGUGAAGUGCGCAGAUAUCAGGAGGAACACCGAUGGCGAAGGCAGGUUACCGGGCAGUUACUGACGCUGAGGAGCGAAAGCAUGGGUAGCGAACAGGAUUAGAUACCCUGGUAGUCCAUGCCGUAAACGGUGGGCGCUAGGUGUGAGGGUCUUUUCACGACUUUCGUGCCGUAGCUAACGCAUUAAGCGCCCCGCCUGGGGAGUACGGAAU
RNAcentral lists this ribosomal RNA (651 nucleotides) under uncultured bacterium. RNAcentral's name for it is "bacterial SSU rRNA". It matches the Rfam family "Bacterial small subunit ribosomal RNA", at positions 229 to 888 of the family's 1533-position model. The record is from RNAcentral.